This 465-nucleotide ribosomal RNA is filed under the name uncultured bacterium. RNAcentral's name for it is "bacterial SSU rRNA". It matches the Rfam family "Bacterial small subunit ribosomal RNA", at positions 29 to 487 of the family's 1533-position model. The record is from RNAcentral.
AACGAACGCUGGCGGCGCGCCUAAUACAUGCAAGUCGAGCGAGAAGACGUAGCAAUACGUUUGUAAAGCGGCGAACGGGUGAGGAAUACAUGGGUAACCUACCCUCGAGUGGGGAAUAACUAGCCGAAAGGUUAGCUAAUACCGCGUACGCUCCUUGGACUUCGGUUCAGGGAGGAAAGCGAUACCGUGGGUAUCGCGCUCUUGGAUGGGCUCAUGUCCUAUCAGCUUGUUGGUGAGGUAACGGCUCACCAAGGCUUCGACGGGUAGCUGGUCUGAGAGGACGACCAGCCACACUGGCACUGCGACACGGGCCAGACUCCUACGGGAGGCAGCAGUAAGGAAUAUUGCGCAAUGGGCGAAAGCCUGACGCAGCGACGCCGCGUGGGGGAUGAAGGUCUUCGGAUUGUAAACCCCUUUCGGGAGGGAAGAUGGAACGAGCAAUCGUUCGGACGGUACCUCCAGAAG